Molecule: small nucleolar RNA, 69 nt
Organism: Ornithorhynchus anatinus (platypus)
Lineage: Eukaryota; Metazoa; Chordata; Mammalia; Monotremata; Ornithorhynchidae
Source: RefSeq, a predicted model, not a curated record
UCACGUGAUGAUAAUAUUGUCCAGUUCUGCUACUGAAGGGACAGCGGUGACACCCUUAGAAUCUGAAGA